Molecule: transfer RNA, 74 nt
Filed under: Mycobacteroides abscessus subsp. abscessus
Lineage: Bacteria; Bacillati; Actinomycetota; Actinomycetes; Mycobacteriales; Mycobacteriaceae
Description: tRNA-Lys(ctt)
Rfam family: tRNA
About the family: Transfer RNA (tRNA) molecules are approximately 80 nucleotides in length.
Source: RNAcentral
GCGCCGCUAGCUCAGUUGGUAGAGCAGCUGACUCUUAAUCAGCGAGUCGGGGGAUCGAGACCCUCGCGGCGUAC